This 425-nucleotide ribosomal RNA is filed under the name uncultured Oscillospiraceae bacterium. Its description in RNAcentral is "bacterial SSU rRNA". It matches the Rfam family "Bacterial small subunit ribosomal RNA", at positions 355 to 794 of the family's 1533-position model. Lineage: Bacteria; Bacillati; Bacillota; Clostridia; Eubacteriales; Oscillospiraceae. The record is from RNAcentral.
UCGGGAAUAUUGCGCAAUGGAGGAAACUCUGACGCAGUGACGCCGCGUGCAGGAAGAAGGUUUUCGGAUUGUAAACUGCUUUAGACAGGGACGAAAUAAAUGACGGUACCUGUAGAAUAAGCUCCGGCUAACUACGUGCCAGCAGCCGCGGUAAUACGUAGGGAGCAAGCGUUAUCCGGAUUUAUUGGGUGUAAAGGGUGCGUAGACGGAAAGACAAGUUAGUUGUGAAAUACCUCGGCUUAACUGAGGAACUGCAACUAAAACUAUCUAUCUUGAGUACUGGAGGGGAAAGCGGAAUUCCUAGUGUAGCGGUGAAAUGCGUAGAUAUUAGGAAGAACACCGGUGGCGAAGGCGGCUUUCUGGACAGAUACUGACACUGAGGUGCGAAAGCGUGGGUAGCAAACAGGAUUAGAUACCCUGGUAGU